RNAcentral lists this small nuclear RNA (135 nucleotides) under Oncorhynchus tshawytscha (Chinook salmon). Its description in RNAcentral is "U4 spliceosomal RNA". It matches the Rfam family "U4 spliceosomal RNA". From Rfam's summary of the family: U4 small nuclear RNA (U4 snRNA) is a component of the major U2-dependent spliceosome. The structure of U4 snRNA from yeast and human has been reported. The record is from Rfam by way of RNAcentral. Lineage: Eukaryota; Metazoa; Chordata; Actinopteri; Salmoniformes; Salmonidae.
AUUCUUUCGCAGAGGCGAUAUCAUAGCCUAUGAAGUCCCUGAGGGUGAUUAUUGCUGGUUGAAAACUUAACCCAAUACCCCUUGGGAUGACUUGAAAUAUAGUCAGCCUUGGCAAUUUUUGAUGUCUCAUGUGGA